This 583-nucleotide ribosomal RNA is filed under the name uncultured bacterium. RNAcentral describes it as "bacterial SSU rRNA". It matches the Rfam family "Bacterial small subunit ribosomal RNA", at positions 338 to 916 of the family's 1533-position model. The record is from RNAcentral.
CCUACGGGAGGCAGCAGUGGGGAAUUUUGGACAAUGGACGCAAGUCUGAUCCAGCCAUGCCGCGUGUGGGAAGAAGGCCUUCGGGUUGUAAACCACUUUUGUCAGGGAAGAAACGGCUCGGGUUAAUACCUUGGGCUAAUGACGGUACCUGAAGAAUAAGCACCGGCUAACUACGUGCCAGCAGCCGCGGUAAUACGUAGGGUGCAAGCGUUAAUCGGAAUUACUGGGCGUAAAGCGUGCGCAGGCGGUUAUGCAAGACAGAUGUGAAAUCCCCGGGCUCAACCUGGGAACUGCAUUUGUGACUGCAUGGCUAGAGUACGGUAGAGGGGGAUGGAAUUCCGCGUGUAGCAGUGAAAUGCGUAGAUAUGCGGAGGAACACCGAUGGCGAAGGCAAUCCCCUGGACCCGUACUGACGCUCAUGCACGAAAGCGUGGGGAGCAAACAGGAUUAGAUACCCUGGUAGUCCACGCCCUAAACGAUGUCAACUGGUUGUUGGGAGGGUUUCUUCUCAGUAACGUAGCUAACGCGUGAAGUUGACCGCCUGGGGAGUACGGCCGCAAGGUUGAAACUCAAGGAUUGACGG